Molecule: ribosomal RNA, 468 nt
Filed under: uncultured bacterium
Lineage: Bacteria
Description: partial 16S ribosomal RNA
Rfam family: Bacterial small subunit ribosomal RNA
Source: RNAcentral
GACGAACGCUGGCGGCGUGCUUAACACAUGCAAGUCGAACGGAAAGGCCCUGCUUUUGUGGGGUGCGCGAGUGGCGAACGGGUGAGUAACACGUGAGUAACCUGCCCUUGACUUUGGGAUAACCUCAGGAAACUGGGGCUAUUACCGGAUAGGAGCUCCUGCUGCUUGGUGGGGGUUGGUAAGUUUCGGCGGUUGGGGAUGGACUCGCGGCUUAUCAGCUUGUUGGUUGGGUAGUGGCUGACCAAGGCUUUGACGGAUAGCCGGCCUGAGAGGGUGACCGGCCACAAUGGGACUGCGAGACGGCGCAGAGGGCAACGGGGGGCAGCGGGGGGGAAUAUUGCACAGUGGGGGGAAGCCUGAUGCAGCAGCGCCGGGUGCGGGAUGACGGCCUUCUGGUUGUGAACCGAUUUCGCCUGUGCCGAAGCGUGAGUGACGGUAAUGGGUAAAGAAGCACCGGCUAACUACGUG